AACGAACGCUGGCGGCAUGCCUAACACAUGCAAGUCGAACGAGACCUUCGGGUCUAGUGGCGCACGGGUGCGUAACGCGUGGGAACCUGCCCUUAGGCUCGGAAUAACUUCCCGAAAGGGGUGCUAAUACCGGAUAAUGUCUUCGGACCAAAGAUUUAUCGCCUUUGGAUGGGCCCGCGUUGGAUUAGCUAGUUGGUAGGGUAAAAGCCUGCCAAGGCGACGAUCCAUAGCUGGUUUGAGAGGAUGAUCAGCCACACUGGGACUGAGACACGGCCCAGACUCCUACGAGAGGCAGCAGUGGGGGAUAUUGGACAAUGGGCGAAAGCCUGAUCCAGCACUGCCGCGUGAGUGGUGAAGGCCUUAGGGUUGUAAAGCUCUUUUACCCGGGAUGAUAAUGACAGUACCGGGAGAAUAAGCUCCGGCUAACUCCGUG
This 433-nucleotide ribosomal RNA is filed under the name uncultured bacterium. RNAcentral's name for it is "partial 16S ribosomal RNA". It matches the Rfam family "Bacterial small subunit ribosomal RNA", at positions 29 to 507 of the family's 1533-position model. The record is from RNAcentral.